Molecule: ribosomal RNA, 459 nt
Filed under: uncultured bacterium
Lineage: Bacteria
Description: partial 16S ribosomal RNA
Rfam family: Bacterial small subunit ribosomal RNA
Source: RNAcentral
CCUACGGGUGGCAGCAGUGAGGAAUAUUGGUCAAUGGGCGCGAGCCUGAACCAGCCAAGUAGCGUGAAGGAUGACUGCCCUACGGGUUGUAAACUUCUUUUGUCGGGGAACAAAGGCGGAGACGCGUCUCCGGAUGAGUGUACCCGAAGAAAAAGCAUCGGCUAACUCCGUGCCAGCAGCCGCGGUAAUACGGAGGAUGCGAGCGUUAUCCGGAUUUAUUGGGUUUAAAGGGUGCGUAGGCGGACUGUUAAGUCAGCGGUAAAAGCCCGGGGCUCAACCCCGGCGAGCCGUUGAAACUGGCUGUCUUGAGAUGUCGAGAGGUAUGCGGAAUGCGCAGUGUAGCGGUGAAAUGCUUAGAUAUUGCGCAGAACUCCGAUUGCGAAGGCAGCAUACCGGCGGCGAUCUGACGCUGAGGCACGAAAGCGUGGGUAUCGAACAGGAUUAGAUACCCCAGUAGUC